Molecule: ribosomal RNA, 499 nt
Filed under: uncultured bacterium
Lineage: Bacteria
Description: partial 16S ribosomal RNA
Rfam family: Bacterial small subunit ribosomal RNA
Source: RNAcentral
GACGAACGCUGGCGGCGUGCCUAAUACAUGCAAGUCGAGCGAAGUUUUUCUGGUGCUUGCACUAGAAAAACUUAGCGGCGAACGGGUGAGUAACACGUAAAGAACCUGCCUCAUAGACUGGGACAACUAUUGGAAACGAUAACUAAUACCGGAUAACCGUAUUUCUCGCAUGGGAGAUAUUUAAAAGUUGGUUAUGCUAACACUAUGAGAUGGCUUUGCGGUGCAUUAGCUAGUUGGUGGGGUAAAGGCCCACCAAGGCGACGAUGCAUAGCCGACCUGAGAGGGGGAUAGGCCACACUGGGACUGAGACACGGCCCAGACUCCUACGGGAGGCAGCAGUAGGGAAUCUUCCGCAAUGGGCGAAAGCCUGACGGAGCAACGCCGCGUGAGUGAAGAAGGAUUUCGGUUCGUAAAGCUCUGUUGUUAGGGAAGAAUGGAUAUGUAGUAACUAUACAUGUAAGAGACGGUACCUAACCAGAAAGCCACGGCUAACUACGUG